GAAAGUUCCCAAACGUUACAAAAAGUUCAUACUUUCAGCAAUUUUGAGAAAUUCAUGGAACAUUUCCAAAUCAGACUAAAUAUUCCAUUUGGCAAAUUUAAUUAGAUAUAUUUUUCGCAGUUGAAAAUAACAUUUAAAAUUAGAAUUCCAUUAAUCAGACCUGCAGAACACAAGAGAAAGAAUAGUCAGAUGCAAAGUUAAACAUCAAGAAAAUCCGAAUUUACCUUAAAAAUAGGAAACCAAACUAUAAAAAUUAAUUGGAUAAAUUCUGAGCAACAUAAAGCAAACAACAAGAAAAACAAUUAAAAUUUACCACCAAAAAUUAUGAAAAACAAACCAUAUAUUAUUAAAAAAAAAAACACAUAAAAGAUAAUCAAAAUUAGGCUAAAUUUAUAAUCAAAACCAAUAUCAAACUUAACAAAAUCAACAAAAUCAAGUUUUCUGACCAAAAUCUUCAAAAUUCUCCAUUAGACUUCAAAUUAUAAGAAUUUAAUGGAUAUUGGCCAUCAAAUAGAGUUCCCCUUCGUGCAUCAACAGAAUGCCAAACGCUGAAAUGUAUGGAAAAUUCGAAUGAAAUUCCAAACUGGCUUUCACUUAAAAGUAUUCCAUUCGACUUACCAUCAGAACAAAGCAUACUUCGAAACUAUAUUCUCAUAUUCCUUCUGAUAAAACUUUAAAAAAUAUCUCCUUAAUUCGAAAUAAGACAUCACUUAUAAAAACUCUUCAGCGUAAUCAAUUAGAAAGCUUUAAAAAUGUAAAGACAUAAAUUAACAUUCAAGACAAUAACUUAUCGCCUUAUUUGAAACAUACAUUAUGACCUACUGAAAUAUCUUAUUUAUCUUUAACCUCCAAAACAUGCUUCAACGAAAUUCCUCUUUGCUCAAACUUAAAUUGAAUGUAUGGCUAUCAUGAAAAACAUUUUUUGCUUGCCUUUAAAAAAGUAUAAAUUAAUUUUUAACCAACUUCUUGAAUCAAAAAGCACGGCGCAAUCACACAUUAAUCACGUAAAAUUAAUAAUGAAACUUUACCAAUGAGCAAAAUCAUAAUUCAAAGAAAAAAAUAAUUUGCCAACUUUAGAAACAAAACCAUAAAUAUUUGUUCGACAAAAGCUUUAUUUUAAACAAAAACAAAAAUAACAUAAAAAUCAUCAUUCUAGAAAACAUUUUUAAAUUCCUUUCAAACAAAAAACAGUUUAGAACCAUUCCGAAUAGAGAAUCAAGAGUGAUUUAAUGCUUUUCAAAUACAUUUUUUUUUUAAAUGUAAUCCUUUUAAAACUUUGGGCUUUAAUGCUUUCGGUAAAUUCCACAACUUCGUUUAAAAUAUUACAAAUAUUACAGUUUUUAUUAAUCUAAUUCUGAGAAAAUUUUAAAAGUUUAGGUUUAAAAAAACAAUUCUCAUUCAAAUUAUAUUGUUUAUUCUGUGAAGUUUAUUAAACUCAAAAGUCAAUAUCUAAAACAUCAAAAACUAUUUAUAAAAAAGUCACAAAAUUCGAAUCGUCCAUCCAAUUCUGAUAAAAUUUUAUAUGUUGAGGUUUCAAAACACAAUUCUCACUCAAAUUAUAUUAUUUAUUCUCUGAAGUUUAUUACAUUCAAAAGUAAAUAUCUCAAACAUCAAAAACUAUUUAUAGAAGUGUCACAAAAUUCCAAUCUUUCAUAUCGAAAACCAAACCCAUCUUAUCUCAAAUGGAAAUCUCCUCAAUCCAAAAGUAAAUAGGCAACUUCCGAAGAGUAAAACAUUUAAAAAUAGUAUAUAGAAGAAGCACGACGAAUUUUUACUGUCUCGACAUUCGUAUUAACAUUUAUUUAUCAAAAUUAUUUAAUUUUAGAAACUGAAACACUAGAAAUCCAAAAUUCAAACUUUCAACUUUCGGCUCCUCUCUGGCAAACAUCAAAAUCCGAAAAUCGAAAACCAAAAUUCCAACAAAAUUAAAACACAAUUCCAUCAAAAUUGCACCACUGACCGGCCACAAAAUUCAAAAUCCAAAUUAAAUUUAAAGCUUUCCCAAAAACACUUAGAGCAGGUAAACCGACUAUUAGCUCAAGACACAAAAUAAAAUAUCCAAAACUAAAGAAUCAACAAAAGAAAAGCGAAAAGAAAAAUACUAUAGAUCGAUGCUGAUGGCUGACCAAAAGAAAACCAAAACGAGAAAAACAAAAUCGAGAAAAUCCAAAAUUCAAAACCCGAGCUCCAAACCAGCCAACACACACAAAAAGAAAUCCAAUUGAAAAUUGCCAAAAAUUACCAAAAAAUUAUCAAAAAGAAAACAAAUGUCGCGACAUUCGCAAGGAAUCCUUCGGUGCAUAAUUAUGGCCACAUUACGAUGAUUAAGUACGCCCGUGGACAGUUCUGAAAACAAAAAGCAAAGCCAAAAAACAAAACACGAAAAGCGAAAACCGAAAAAAGAAGAAAGAAAUUCCAGCAAAAUUCCAAAAAGGCAGCAUUAUAAAUUACAAGAAAUUGCGGAAGUUUUAAUGCGACAAAAUGUCAGGAGCAAAAGCAAAAAGGAACCCGCGCGCUGGCAAGCAAAAGACGCGACAGGGACAGGCCACCAAAACAGGACGAGGGCAGGACAGGGGGAGGCUGACUGGCUGGCAAAAUGCUGGCCAACUUUCUGGCCCAAAAUCUUACAAAUGGCGGCCCGAGAGCUCGAGAGAGGCCGCCACUCGACUCGGUAGAUAAAUCACAGCGAAACAAAACAAUUCCGCAGCUCUCCGCAGCGACCAAAAAUCCACAAAAACACAAACCAGAAUCGGUAUCCGAAUCAGAACAGAAUCCGAAUCCAGACCAAGAGACAAAGACAAAGAACACGCGAUUUCAAAGAACUUUUUGCCUUGAUGAAGGCGCAGAUGGGGUUAAAGCUGGUCCAUAAAAAGGAACAGUUGAGCAUAAAGAGGCAUAAACAAAAUUUCAUAAACUAUAAAACCCCAAGCACACCCACCGCAGUUAGCCCAAGAUUCGACCGAUGACCACUUUGAUGGCCUCCAGGGACAGGCCGCCUCAAGAGCAUUACUUUCGCUCGAAGGCCGCCAUACAAAUAUCACAAAGAUGAAAACCAUUCCGAGCCGUUCAGAGCUAUGAAAACUAUCAAAACUUAACCCAAAUUCAAUUCGAAUCAAAAUCAGCAUCGCAAACAAAAUGAAGGCACAACCAGCACAACUUCCAGUUUCUGAACUUUAAGUAAUAUUUCGAGACGAGUGUCACACGCACACGGCAGAAAAAGCAGAAACCCCCGCCCUACUCCAGACACACACCCAAACACACCCCAGCUACCGUUCAGACCUUUCAAAUUGUGGUCAGGCGAGAGGUUUCUUUGGCAAAAGUUCGAACCAUCAUCAUCUGUAACAUUCAGAAAAACUCCACCAGCAUCAGCAUCAGCAUCAGCAUCGACAUCAGCAUCAUGCAGUUGAAAGCACAUCAAACAAAACUUCAAAUUUAUAUAAACUACUGGCAAUAGUCGAGGUCGAGGCAUAAUUGCCAUCAAUAAAUAAAAUAUGGCUGGGCAGGGGAGCCACCAGCACCAGCAAGAGCAACAGCAACAGACCAGAGCAACAGCAGCAAGAGCAAAGCAGACCCCGAAGAGACACCAAUCCUGACAAUCCCUUUCCCAGAUACAGCCCCAAACUUCAGCAGCAAGCACUCAAUGGCCACUAGACAGCAGCAGAGCAGAGCACAUUUUGAUUUAUAAAUUCAUGGCGAAAGUUGCCAGGCCAAGCGGCAGCCGACGCCACCCAACCCACCAAUCCACUCAAUCGCCACACGAUGACGAAACACACACACGCACCACCAACUCCACCACCUAGAGACUUGGCAGCAAAGCAACAAGAAAAUGCAAAAACCGUCUUAUGAAAUUACACAUUUCCGACUUGUACUAACAGCAGCAGAAAGAGAAAAAAAAGCACCCAAAAAACAACAUCCAAGCCGAAGCCAAACCGAACAUUUAGCAGCAGUGAGCAAACCCUACCCGUCCCCCCAUAAUAACCAAAACGUACCGAAAGAAACCCCUUAUGAUACGGCGACUAACUAGCCGAGAAAUUUAGUUAUGCAGGGACCAGGAAAAUCGAAAGUAGACAUUCCAUAUUUGGCCAGGAAAAUGCACGUUUCGGGCAAUUUGGAAAUUUGCAACAUCAUUGAGACGCGCAGCAGACGCGAGAAGCAACCACAAAAAGUAGCAAAUGGAAUCUUGUACAAUAGUUCUAUUGAAAAUCAUAUAUAAAAAACCGACCCCCAUUCCAGACUCACGAUCUAUAAGAGAUCCAAGACAGAGAAAGAUAUAUAAACAGGAGAUAUACAUAGUGAAUAUAUAGAAAGAGAGACAGAUAGAUAGAGAUAGUUAGAGAGCAAAGCAACACAAAACAGAUUUAGAGAAAAAACAACAUAGAGAGAAAGAUAAAAAACAUUUCGGACACAAGGUGGGGAUACCUAGUGUAAUUGCUUAGUCUUAAGAGUGCUGCACUUGCAACGGAACAGAAACCAAGUGCAGGACUGACUGACCCAUGACCCACCCAUUACUUUCACCACAGACCUCCCCAUUACUGGCCCCACACCCCACCCCACAUAUAUUCUAAAUGAAAAAUGAAUACCCUUUGGGCAGCUGACAACACAAAUGUGAUCAGAAAUUUGAUUCAGAAACGCAUAAACUUAGGCCAUUCUAGACCCUAAAAAAAUAAAUAAUCAGAUAUAAGCAACAUAUAAUAAGCGUGAAUCGUACAAUGUAACUACACUCUGUAUCCCCUUAGUUAAGCUACAAAUUAAAAUGCAAAAAGUAUCGAAAAGGGCCCCAAAACAAAAACAAACAAAAACUAAAUGUAGAUAAUGCCAAUCCUUUUGCCUAAAAUGUCAGUUCUUGUUUUAGACGAAACGAUUGUGGCAUUUUUUAUGUGAUUUUUAUAUAAACAUUCAUGUACACACAAACACACCCCAAGACACAUAUACACACACACACGUAUAGUUUUACAUAUUGUAUAAUUUAUUUCGAUAUUCUCGCUACUAUCAUUAUCUUCGUACAGCUUCAGAUUUCAGUUAUAAUUUCAGUUCUUCUUUCGACACCAUAAAUUGUGAUAAGCAAAAGCAUUCUGGAAGACAAAAAGCAAAAGCAAAAAGCAAACCAAAAUCAAAACUGUGUUAAUCCCCAUCUUUGAAAGAUCUAUGACAAAACCACAUACAUGCAUUCACACAUACAUAAAUUGUUUCUCUUUAAGUAAAUUUAAAUAUUCGAAUAAUUCAUGUGGCCCAAAAAGUUUAAUCAAGUUUUGAAAGAAAUUCCUUCAUUUUGUAUAAAAAUAUUAUUUUGAAACCAAACAAAAAUCACACACAAAACACAUCGCUACCAUUAGACAUAUUCGUAAAAUUAGUUAAAAAUACUACGUACAAAAAACACAAAACUAAAACAAAAAUCAAUAAAAUUGUACAAGCCAAUUUGCUCAAAUAACAAAACAAAAC
Molecule: long non-coding RNA, 5439 nt
Filed under: Drosophila guanche
Lineage: Eukaryota; Metazoa; Arthropoda; Insecta; Diptera; Drosophilidae
Source: RNAcentral